CAGCCGCGGUAAUACGUAGGGCGCAAGCGUUGUCCGGAAUUAUUGGGCGUAAAGAGCUCGUAGGCGGCUUGUCACGUCGGGUGUGAAAGCCCGGGGCUUAACCCCGGGUCUGCAUUCGAUACGGGCUAGCUAGAGUGUGGUAGGGGAGAUCGGAAUUCCUGGUGUAGCGGUGAAAUGCGCAGAUAUCAGGAGGAACACCGGUGGCGAAGGCGGAUCUCUGGGCCAUUACUGACGCUGAGGAGCGAAAGCGUGGGGAGCGAACAGGAUUAGAUACCC
This 276-nucleotide ribosomal RNA is filed under the name Streptomyces sp. RNAcentral describes it as "partial 16S ribosomal RNA". It matches the Rfam family "Bacterial small subunit ribosomal RNA", at positions 512 to 787 of the family's 1533-position model. Lineage: Bacteria; Bacillati; Actinomycetota; Actinomycetes; Kitasatosporales; Streptomycetaceae. The record is from RNAcentral.